GAGACUAGAGAGAGAGAGAGAGUCGCAGGACAUGACAUGAGCAUGAGGGUCCAAAGUGGUCAUUUUCUAGAGGAAGGGAAGGAACAUUUCUGAAUGCAAAAGAAUACAAGAAGAAAAUCCAAGAGUUGGAAUUGGAUGGCUGUGACCUAAUUUCCUUUUCUUUAUCAUUUAGUGGAACGUGUCUUCCCCUCAACUGCAAGCCGACUCUCUCCUCUCUCUUAACUCAUUAAGCCGAUUCUUUAAAAUUAAAAAUUGAAAUUUAUUUGAAAUUGUUUUCACAUUCAAGUUUUUUUUUUUUUUUUUUUACUUUUGUUACUCUUCUCUCCAAUUCUCACUCUUAUUUUUCUAUAUACUCUAGCAAAAAAAUAAAAUAGUUAUCAAAUUGCUGCAAGUAUAAGAACUAAUAAAAAAAAUAACUAUAGAAAAAUAGUUUUUGAAAUUAGAGAUACAUAAAAAUAUGAAGUCUGCAAGCAGCAUUACCAGUUGAAUAUAUGCUUUAAAAAAAUAGUUUAAUUUAUUCUGUGGCUGGCUGAGAUUCAUUUUUCAAGGGUACAAAAUGUGAAGGAAUACCACGUUUUGGAUUUGAAUUGCACAACUUUUCUUUUUAUUAUUUAUUUUUAAAAAGUGUAUACCGCCCAUGUCAGAAUCUGGCUCCCACAAGACGGUGGGUGCGGAUUCGCUGUGGAAAACCGCACGAUUUGGUUAUUAAAAUACACGGCUGUGAUUAGACGGCAGGUGGGGAAGAUGGCUACGUGUCAGCCACCCGAAAUGAUUUGAAGGAAAACCCCUUGUCCCACUGUCGUUCUCAAUCUCAAGUCUCACCCUUUGACUCUCUUUGUACAAGCUCAGCCAGCCUAGCUCUACAGAGGCCCCACUUGUCCACGCACGCGCGCCUGCUCGCCUGGGUCCCAGGUUGACCCAUCUUAGCUUGCCAAAUCAUGAUGCGUAACCAGUUAAUUAAUUACUAAUUAUUUAAAUCAAGCUGCCAGGUUCUUUAUAAAAGAACAAGCCGGAUCGUUAAUUUGUUUCAAUCAAAAUUUUUUUUUUCUUUUUCUGAAUGGUUUUUUUUCUUUCUUCAUUUUUCUAUUUAAACCUCGUAUUUCUCUUUGUUCACCCUAUA
RNAcentral lists this long non-coding RNA (1120 nucleotides) under Prunus persica (peach). Its description in RNAcentral is "long non-coding RNA (PPER_LNC003963)". Lineage: Eukaryota; Viridiplantae; Streptophyta; Magnoliopsida; Rosales; Rosaceae. The record is from RNAcentral.